CGUCGUCUAAACCAAGCUCAAAUGCCCUUACUCGGUCCAAACCCGUUCCCCCUUAGAGACACGGAAAUAACGUUCAUUCCUCCUAUUUUUCGAUCCGAGCACAAUUCCCUCUCCACAGUUCAUCUUCUUCUAUAAUAAAAAACCCAAAAACUCCAUUAGAUGGAGGACACACAUCAGAUCCCUUCCCCUCCCAAGCUAUAAGGCCCCUUCCCAGAACUUCUUCUUCUCCAUGCCUCAAAAAUCCAUCCCGAUGCCUUAUCUCUUUCGUUCAUCUUGACACACGCACACUAAAGGGGGAAAGAAAACAUACUCAAAUUCAAAAUUUUUAGAUCUAGAAAUAUCGAAGAAAUCCAAACAGAAAACAAAACAAAAAAAAUGUGUUUGAAGGUUGUUCGAAUUUCUACUCCUUUGCUUCAAUUUUUCUGAAAUUUCAAGUGACAUUUGGGCUUAGAGCCUCUGAUUUUGGCACUAUCGAAGAAAUCUGGCUAAUUAAAUCGUUAUUCGCUGUUGUCGAGUUGAACUUGUUUGGUCGCUGGUCUGUUGCUGUUGUGUUGCUGGUUCUCCUCUCAUAAUUUCAGAAGUUUGUUGUUGUUUUUUUUUUCAGUUAGUUUCAGCCGCCUAGUUUUCGUUCCUUCUUUCUAUAAUUAUAGAAUUCAAUCUUUCCUUGACUUGUUGAUGACCACUUUCACUGCUUGGUAUCUUAUUGCUGCACCACUAGUCCAUCACAAGGUAUCUUUUCCAUUAGUGUAUUUCUUUUCAAUAAUAUUCCAUGUUCGAGCUUAGGAAGAGUAAUGAAUAUCCGUAGUUUGUUUUAGUUGAGUAAAGCCCUUUAGAAUAGUUCGAGGUGCGUCAUGCCAAAUAAAAUCUCAAAUGCAUGGCCCUCGCUUAAUUACAAUCCUUAGAAAUCGGGACCUGUCAUUUAGCGAAUCUUCAUGGCCUCCUGCAAAGAUGUCAACAUGGUAGUUGCUUUAGGCUCG
Molecule: long non-coding RNA, 977 nt
Filed under: Nicotiana benthamiana
Lineage: Eukaryota; Viridiplantae; Streptophyta; Magnoliopsida; Solanales; Solanaceae
Description: long non-coding RNA (NBEN_LNC010224)
Source: RNAcentral